GAUGAACGCUGGCGGCGUGCCUAAUACAUGCAAGUCGAGCGAACAGACGAGGAGCUUGCUCCUCUGACGUUAGCGGCGGACGGGUGAGUAACACGUGGAUAACCUACCUAUAAGACUGGGAUAACUUCGGGAAACCGGAGCUAAUACCGGAUAAUAUAUUGAACCGCAUGGUUCAAUAGUGAAAGACGGUUUUGCUGUCACUUAUAGAUGGAUCCGCGCCGCAUUAGCUAGUUGGUAAGGUAACGGCUUACCAAGGCAACGAUGCGUAGCCGACCUGAGAGGGUGAUCGGCCACACUGGAACUGAGACACGGUCCAGACUCCGACGGGAGGCAGCAGUAGGGAAUCUUCCGCAAUGGGCGAAAGCCUGACGGAGCAACGCCGCGUGAGUGAUGAAGGUCCUCGGAUCGUAAAACUCUGUUAUUAGGGAAGAACAAAUGUGUAAGUAACUAUGCACGUAUUGACGGUACCUAAUCAGAAAGCCACGGCUAACUACGUG
RNAcentral lists this ribosomal RNA (497 nucleotides) under uncultured bacterium. Its description in RNAcentral is "partial 16S ribosomal RNA". It matches the Rfam family "Bacterial small subunit ribosomal RNA", at positions 28 to 507 of the family's 1533-position model. The record is from RNAcentral.